RNAcentral lists this ribosomal RNA (329 nucleotides) under uncultured eukaryote. RNAcentral describes it as "partial 18S ribosomal RNA". It matches the Rfam family "Eukaryotic small subunit ribosomal RNA", at positions 1470 to 1796 of the family's 1831-position model. The record is from RNAcentral.
CCCUUAGAUGUUCUGGGCCGCACGCGCGCUACACUGAUGCAUUCAACGAGUCUAAAACCUGCUCUGAUAGGGGUGGGUAAUCUUUUGAAUGUGCAUCGUGAUUGGGAUAGAUGAUUGCAAUUUUUCAUCUUCAACGAGGAAUGCCUAGUAAACGCAAGUCAUCAGCUUGCAUUGAUUACGUCCCAGCCCUUUGUACACACCGCCCGUCGCUCCUACCGAUUGAAUGAUCCGAUGAAUAUCAUGGAUUGAGGAUGCAAGCAGGUUCGCCUGUCUUCAUCUUCGAGAAGUGAAGUAAAUCUUAUCAUUUAGAGGAAGGAGAAGUCGUAACA